UUGGAGGGCAAGUCUGGUGCCAGCAGCCGCGGUAAUUCCAGCUCCAAUAGCGUAUAUUAAAGUUGUUGCAGUUAAGAAGCUCGUAGUUGAAUUUCGGGAUUCUUCCGUUGGUCAGGCUAACAAGUCUGUACUAGCGUGUAGAAUCUCUACCUUCUGGGGAACCAUCAUGUUAUUAAUUUAGCGUGGUGGGAAACCAGGACCUUUACCUUGAAAAAAUUAGAGUGUUCAAAGCAGGCUUACGUCUGAAUACAUUAGCAUGGAAUAAUAAAAUAGGACGGUGGUCCUGUUUUGUUGGUUUCUGAAUCACCGUAAUGAUUAAUAGGGAUAGUUGGGGGCAUUAGUAUUCAAUUGUCAGAGGUGAAAUUCUUGGAUUUAUUGAAGACUAACUUCUGCGAAAGCAUUUGCCAAGGAUGUUUUCAUUAAUCAAGAACGAAAGUUAGGGGAUCGAAGACGAUCAGAUACCGUCGUAGUCUUAACCAUAAACUAUGCCGACUAGGGAUCGGACGAUGUUAAAUUUUAUUGACUCGUUCGGCGCCUUACGGGAAAC
This 547-nucleotide ribosomal RNA is filed under the name uncultured Glomeromycotina. RNAcentral's name for it is "SSU rRNA". It matches the Rfam family "Eukaryotic small subunit ribosomal RNA", at positions 548 to 1098 of the family's 1831-position model. The record is from RNAcentral. Lineage: Eukaryota; Fungi; Glomeromycota.